CAGCACCUCAAGUGGUCAGGAUGAUUAUUGGGCCUAAAGCAUCCGUAGCCGGCUCUGUAAGUUUUCGGUUAAAUCUGUACGCUUAACGUACAGGCUGCCGGGAAUACUGCAGAGCUAGGGAGUGGGAGAGGUAGACGGUACUCGGUAGGAAGGGGUAAAAUCCUUUGAUCUAUUGAUGACCACCUGUGGCGAAGGCGGUCUACCAGAACACGUCCGACGGUGAGGGAUGAAAGCUGGGGGAGCAAACCGGAUUAGAGACCCGCGUAGUCC
This 270-nucleotide ribosomal RNA is filed under the name uncultured archaeon. Its description in RNAcentral is "partial 16S ribosomal RNA". It matches the Rfam family "Archaeal small subunit ribosomal RNA", at positions 477 to 747 of the family's 1478-position model. The record is from RNAcentral.